Molecule: ribosomal RNA, 468 nt
Filed under: uncultured bacterium
Lineage: Bacteria
Description: bacterial SSU rRNA
Rfam family: Bacterial small subunit ribosomal RNA
Source: RNAcentral
GACGAACGGCUGGCGGCGCGCCUAACACAUGCAAGUCGAACGGUGAAGAGGAGCUUGCUCCUCGGAUCAGUGGCGGACGGGUGAGUAACACGUGAGCAACCUGGCUUUAAGAGGGGGACAACAGUUGGAAACGACUGCUAAUACCGCAUAAUGUAUCGGGAUGGCAUCUUCCUGAUACCAAAGAUUUUAUCGCUUAGAGAUGGCCUCGCGUCUGAUUAGCUAGUUGGUGAGGUAAACGGCCCACCAAGGCGACGAUCAGUAGCCGGACUGAGAGGUUGACCGGCCACAUUGGGACUGAGAUACGGCCCAGACUCCUACGGGAGGCAGCAGUGGGGGAAUAUUGGGCAAUGGGCGCAAGCCUGACCCAGCAACGCCGCGUGAAGGAAGAAGGCUUUCGGGUUGUAAACUUCUUUUGUCAGGGACGAGUAGAAGACGGUACCUGACGAAUAAGCCACGGCUAACUACGUG